UACGGAGGGUGCGAGCGUUAAUCGGAAUUACUGGGCGUAAAGCGCACGCAGGCGGUUUGUUAAGCUAGAUGUGAAAGCCCCGGGCUCAACCUGGGAUGGUCAUUUAGAACUGGCAGACUAGAGUCUUGGAGAGGGGAGUGGAAUUCCGGGUGUAGCGGUGAAAUGCGUAGAUAUCUGGAGGAACAUCAGUGGCGAAGGCGACUCCCUGGCCAAAGACUGACGCUCAUGUGCGAAAGUGUGGGUAGCGAACAGG
Molecule: ribosomal RNA, 253 nt
Filed under: uncultured bacterium
Lineage: Bacteria
Description: partial 16S ribosomal RNA
Rfam family: Bacterial small subunit ribosomal RNA
Source: RNAcentral